This 465-nucleotide ribosomal RNA is filed under the name uncultured bacterium. Its description in RNAcentral is "bacterial SSU rRNA". It matches the Rfam family "Bacterial small subunit ribosomal RNA", at positions 338 to 795 of the family's 1533-position model. The record is from RNAcentral.
CCUACGGGGCGCAGCAGUGGGGAAUAUUGCACAAUGGGCGCAAGCCUGAUGCAGCCAUGCCGCGUGUAUGAAGAAGGCCUUCGGGUUGUAAAGUACUUUCAGCGGGGAGGAAGGCGAUAAGGUUAAUAACCUUGUCGAUUGACGUUACCCGCAGAAGAAGCACCGGCUAACUCCGUGCCAGCAGCCGCGGUAAUACGGAGGGUGCAAGCGUUAAUCGGAAUUACUGGGCGUAAAGCGCACGCAGGCGGUCUGUCAAGUCGGAUGUGAAAUCCCCGGGCUCAACCUGGGAACUGCAUCUGAUACUGGCAAGCUUGAGUCUCGUAGAGGGGGGUAGAAUUCCAGGUGUAGCGGUGAAAUGCGUAGAGAUCUGGAGGAAUACCGGUGGCGAAGGCGGCCCCCUGGACGAAGACUGACGCUCAGAUGCGAAAGCGUGGGGAGCAAACAGGAUUAGAUACCCCUGUAGUC